Non-coding RNA from Cordylochernes scorpioides, 71 nucleotides. The record is from the annotation of a GenBank genome assembly. NCBI's taxonomy places the organism in Eukaryota, Metazoa, Arthropoda, Arachnida, Pseudoscorpiones, Chernetidae.
CCAUCGGUGGUUCAGUGGUAGAAUGCUCGCCUCGCACGCGGGCGGCCCGGGUUCGAUUCCCGGCCGAUGCA